UACGGAGGGUGCAAGCGUUAAUCGGAAUUACUGGGCGUAAAGCGCACGCAGGUGGCUGAGUCAGUCGGGUGUGAAAGCCCCGGGCUCAACCUGGGAAUUGCAUUCGAGACUGAAUAGCUAGGGUACGGUAGAGGGAAGCGGAAUUUCCGGUGUAGCGGUGAAAUGCGUAGAUAUCGGAAGGAACAUCAGUGGCGAAAGCGGCUCCCUGGACCAGUACCGACGUUCAGGCACGAAAGCGUGGGGAGCAAACAGG
Molecule: ribosomal RNA, 253 nt
Filed under: uncultured bacterium
Lineage: Bacteria
Description: partial 16S ribosomal RNA
Rfam family: Bacterial small subunit ribosomal RNA
Source: RNAcentral